RNAcentral lists this ribosomal RNA (499 nucleotides) under uncultured Glomeromycotina. RNAcentral describes it as "partial small subunit ribosomal RNA". It matches the Rfam family "Eukaryotic small subunit ribosomal RNA", at positions 591 to 1092 of the family's 1831-position model. The record is from RNAcentral. Lineage: Eukaryota; Fungi; Glomeromycota.
CCAAUAGCGUAUAUUAAAGUUGUUGCAGUUAAAAAGCUCGUAGUUGAAUUUCGGGAUCAAUAUGUCGGUCGUGCUUAGGUACGUACUGGCAUCAUUGGUUUCUCCUUUCUGAUGAACCAUGAUGCCAUUAAUUUGGUGUUAUGGGGAAUCAGGACUGUUACUUUGAAAAAAUUAGAGUGUUUAAAGCAGGCUCACGCUUGAAUACAUUAGCAUGGAAUAAUGAAAUAGGACGUUUGAUUCUAUUUUGUUGGUUUCUAGGAUCGACGUAAUGAUUAAUAGGGAUAGUUGGGGGCAUUAGUAUUCAAUUGUCAGAGGUGAAAUUCUUGGAUUUAUUGAAGACUAACUACUGCGAAAGCAUUUGCCAAGGAUGUUUUCAUUAAUCAAGAACGAAAGUUAGGGGAUCGAAGACGAUCAGAUACCGUCGUAGUCUUAACCAUAAACUAUGCCGACUAGGGAUCGGAUGAUGUUAAUUUUUUAAUGACUCAUUCGGCGCCUUACG